UGGGGAAUAUUGCACAAUGGAGGGAACUCUGAUGCAGCGACGCCGCGUGAACGAAGAAGGCUUUCGAGUCGUAAAGUUCUUUUAUAUGGGAAGAUAAUGACGGUACCAUAAGAAAAAGCCCCGGCUAACUACGUGCCAGCAGCCGCGGUAAUACGUAGGGGGCUAGCGUUGUCCGGAAUCACUGGGCGUAAAGGGUUCGCAGGCGGAAAUGCAAGUCAGGUGUAAAAGGCAGUAGCUUAACUACUGUAAGCAUUUGAAACUGCAUAUCUUGAGAAGAGUAGAGGUAAGUGGAAUUUUUAGUGUAGCGGUGAAAUGCGUAGAUAUUAAAAAGAAUACUGGUGGCGAAGGCGACUUACUGGGCUCAUUCUGACGCUGAGGAACGAAAGCGUGGGUAGCAAACAGG
RNAcentral lists this ribosomal RNA (403 nucleotides) under bacterium. RNAcentral's name for it is "partial 16S ribosomal RNA". It matches the Rfam family "Bacterial small subunit ribosomal RNA", at positions 355 to 776 of the family's 1533-position model. The record is from RNAcentral.